This 460-nucleotide ribosomal RNA is filed under the name uncultured bacterium. Its description in RNAcentral is "partial 16S ribosomal RNA". It matches the Rfam family "Bacterial small subunit ribosomal RNA", at positions 338 to 795 of the family's 1533-position model. The record is from RNAcentral.
CCUACGGGAGGCAGCAGUGAGGAAUAUUGGUCAAUGGACGAGAGUCUGAACCAGCCAAGUAGCGUGAAGGAUGACUGCCCUAUGGGUUGUAAACUUCUUUUAUAUGGGAAUAAAACGUUCCACGUGUGGGAUUUUGUAUGUACCCUAUGAAUAAGGAUCGGCUAACUCCGUGCCAGCAGCCGCGGUAAUACGGAGGAUCCGAGCGUUAUCCGGAUUUAUUGGGUUUAAAGGGUGCGUAGGUGGAUUGUUAAGUCAGUUGUGAAAGUUUGCGGCUCAACCGUAAAAUUGCAGUUGAAACUGGCAGUCUUGAGUACAGUAGAGGUGGGCGGAAUUCGUGGUGUAGCGGUGAAAUGCUUAGAUAUCACGAAGAACUCCGAUUGCGAAGGCAGUUCACUGGACUGCAACUGACACUGAGGCUCGAAAGUGUGGGUAUCAAACAGGAUUAGAUACCCCGGUAGUC